RNAcentral lists this ribosomal RNA (435 nucleotides) under uncultured bacterium. RNAcentral's name for it is "bacterial SSU rRNA". It matches the Rfam family "Bacterial small subunit ribosomal RNA", at positions 355 to 796 of the family's 1533-position model. The record is from RNAcentral.
UCGAGGAUCUUCGGCAAUGGGCGCAAGCCUGACCGAGCGACGCCGCGUGCGCGAUGAAGGCCUUCGGGUUGUAAAGCGCUGUCGAGGGGGAGGAAAGCCCGCAAGGGUCUGACCUAUCCCUGGAGGAAGCACGGGCUAAGUUCGUGCCAGCAGCCGCGGUAAGACGAACCGUGCGAACGUUGUUCGGAUUCACUGGGCUUAAAGGGCGCGUAGGCGGGCCACCAAGUCCGGGGUGAAAUCCUUCGGCUUAACCGGAGAAUUGCCUGGGAUACUGGUGGUCUCGAGGGAGGUAGGGGCCGCGGGAACUUCCGGUGGAGCGGUGAAAUGCGUUGAUAUCGGAAGGAACGCCGGUGGCGAAAGCGCGCGGCUGGACCUCUUCUGACGCUGAGGCGCGAAAGCCAGGGGAGCAAACGGGAUUAGAUACCCCCGUAGUCC